RNAcentral lists this ribosomal RNA (433 nucleotides) under uncultured bacterium. Its description in RNAcentral is "partial 16S ribosomal RNA". It matches the Rfam family "Bacterial small subunit ribosomal RNA", at positions 29 to 507 of the family's 1533-position model. The record is from RNAcentral.
AACGAACGCUGGCGGCAUGCCUAACACAUGCAAGUCGAACGACACCUUCGUGUCUGCUUGCUCUCGCGUGCGUAACGCGUGGGAACCUUCCCUUAUACUCGGAAUAACUCCCUUAAAUGGGUGCUAAUACCGGGUAAUUUCCUCUGAUCCCAGAUUGAACGUCCUUGUAUGGGCCCGCGUUGUUUUAACCUGUUGCUAGUGUAAAAGCCUACCAAGGCUAGGAUCCAUAGCUGGUUUGAGAGGAUGAGCAGCGACACUGAGACUGUGACACGGCCCAGAAUAUUAGGGGAGGGAGGAGUGGGGAAUAUUGGAAAAUGGGCGAAAGGAUGAACCAGCAAUGCCGCGUGAGUGAUGAAGGCGGUAGGGUUGUAAAGCUGUUUUACACGGGAUGAUAAUGACAGUACCGGGAGAAUAAGCUCCGGCUAACUCCGUG